This is a non-coding RNA of Schistocerca nitens (vagrant locust), 82 nucleotides long. The record is from the annotation of a RefSeq genome assembly. NCBI's taxonomy places the organism in Eukaryota, Metazoa, Arthropoda, Insecta, Orthoptera, Acrididae.
GCUUGGGUAGCUCAGUUGGUAGAGCACUUGCCCGCUACAGUCUGGAACGCUGCGGUCGCAGGUUCGAAUCCUGCCUCGGGCA